RNAcentral lists this ribosomal RNA (468 nucleotides) under uncultured bacterium. RNAcentral's name for it is "partial 16S ribosomal RNA". It matches the Rfam family "Bacterial small subunit ribosomal RNA", at positions 28 to 507 of the family's 1533-position model. The record is from RNAcentral.
GACGAACGCUGGCGGCGUGCUUAACACAUGCAAGUCGAACGGAAAGGCCCUGCUUUUGUGGGGUGCUCGAGUGGCGAACGGGUGAGUAGCACGUGAGUAACCUGCCCUUGACUUUGGGAUAACUUCAGGAAACUGGGGCUAAUACCGGAUAGGAGCUCCUGCUGCAUGGUGGGGGUUGGAAAGUUUCGGCGGUUGGGGAUGGACUCGCGGCUUAUCAGCUUGUUGGUGGGGUAGUGGCUUACCAAGGCUUUGACGGGUAGCCGGCCUGAGAGGGUGACCGGCCACAGUGGGACUGAGAUACGGCACAGACUCCUACGGGAGGCAGCAGUGGGGAAUAUUGCACAAUGGGCGGAAGCCUGAUGCAGCAACGCCGCGUGCGGGAUGACGGCCUUCGGGUUGUAAACCGCUUUCGCCUGUGACGAAGCGUGAGUGACGGUAAUGGGUAAAGAAGCACCGGCUAACUACGUG